This is a long non-coding RNA of Dermacentor andersoni, 295 nucleotides long. RefSeq lists it as uncharacterized. Lineage: Eukaryota; Metazoa; Arthropoda; Arachnida; Ixodida; Ixodidae. The record is from RefSeq and is a predicted model, not a curated record.
UGCAUCUCGCCAGCGCAGUGGUCUAUCUCCUGGCGGCCACGUUUAGCCGAAUAAUUCUGUACAGCCCAUCCCUUGCUGCAACGGAAGAGAAGACCAAAGGCUACACUGUUUGUGACACGGAAGUGUGUAAAGAGAGAGCGAGACUGCUCAAAAAAAGCAUCAACACAAGCAUCGAACCAUGUGACGACUUCUUCGGCUUCGUUUGUGACGGGUGGAUUAGAGAGCAUCCUAUUCCAGAGACUGAUACGUCGUUCGGAACGUUCGAACAAGCCGAAGAAAACGUGCUGCGUGAUCU